Pelobates cultripes (western spadefoot toad) is the source of this 221-nucleotide non-coding RNA. The record is from the annotation of a GenBank genome assembly. NCBI's taxonomy places the organism in Eukaryota, Metazoa, Chordata, Amphibia, Anura, Pelobatidae.
AGUGGCAAAGUGAGGGAGGGAAAGGGUGACUAGUGACAGAGUGAGGGGAUGACUGGUGACAGAGUGAGGGGGGGGGGUGACUGUCACUAGUCACCCCAUCCCUCUCUCUGUCACUAGUCACUCCCUCCCUAACUCUGUCACUGUGUCACCCGCUCCCUCACUCUGUCACUAGUCACCCCCUUACUCUGUCACUGUGUCACCCCCUCCCUCUCUCUGUCACU